GGAUAGAAGUGGAUAGACCUCCGCUGUUAUUUGCAGGAAGUGUAAAUGUAUGCAACUCUAUCCAUAAUAGAGGUAGAGGGCCUACUACACACGCGUUCGCUGAGUGACUCUGGGCUGCGUGGUUGACCUUCCGGUGAACUCGCUAACUAUAGCUGAGUAAAGGGAUGGGUCUGCAACUACUGCAAGGCCCUCGCUGACCAACCCUGCUACCAAGGUUAUGGUGGUUGGGGGGAAGGUCGGUGAGUGGUGGGUCCAGCAGUGGUCAAGGCCGGGUUACUCCAGAUACAGAGCGAGCACAAAGAGGGGUGGGUAGAGACCGAAUGACAACAGGGGAAUGUGGUUAUAAUGUUUUCGACGAGAGGGUAAGGCUGGGUUGCAUUCUAUAGCUAUAGAGAAAAUUAUAGAAAAUUCCUCUCUUGGCGUCCCAUACUGCUGAGGCCAAGGGAGAGUGUAUAUGACACCUGUUCACUGGGUUGGCUGCUGGGGGGUUUCUCCUGUCUCCCCUUAUGGUGCGAAACAGCCGCUUGGUGGAAGCACUUUGGCCAAACCAGCCCACUACACUCGGUAAUUACAUGCCUUCAGAUUCAUCUGAUUAGACUAUAUUGUCGGAUUCCGCUUCACUAUCAGCAAGCGUAUCAUAAUACGAAGAAAAGUAAAGACUUUGAUAAGGAAGUGUGUUCUCUCAUGGCCACAUACAUUGUGGAGAUAAUAAAGGGAACUCUCCCUCUGAGUCUUUACUAGCUCUGUUUUAUUCUUGUGCAACUAUCUUACUAUCGUAUCCAUAAAGUAACCACAUAUGGGGACAAGAUCAUAAUGGUUACUUUAAAAAGGCAUACUUGGGACUGUCUUCUUUCAGAACAGCAUUUCACUUCCCCGGACGCUGGCAUCUACAACCUAAUACCAGGCUUUGCCGGCUAUAUAUAGAUCCGCUGCAUCGAUUCCGCCUGCAUCAUCUUUAACCGUAAAGCCGUCCGCCGACACACUGACCUACAUUUAGCUGCGGUGCGUCUGCCGACCUGAACCCCAAUACCCUCCGCGCGACCUCUUUGUUUAAAAAAAAAAAAUCGGUGAACAAUGCAGUGGUACAGGCCUGACGUGUUCACGAUGUCAGAUCUCCUCUCGCAGCUAAAUACACCACGAAUAUUUCGAGAGGAUAAGAAGCUUCUGAUAAGAUCACUGCGCAUCCAUGCCGAACUAUUUCCCACUGUAAUGCUGAGGGAAGUCUGAACACAGUUUAUAUAAUGAGAUGUCUGAUUUUUCUGUGUGGUUUACAACACGGUCUCAAGAAAACUUAUGUUAUUCAGUAGCCUUAAUACAUAUUCUUAUAGUUAUCCACCCCCCCCCCCAAAGGAUUUAAAAUAUGUAGUAACAGUCCCUCAUGAACAUUUCUAAAUGAUUAACCAGGAAGUUUGUCCGCUUCUUGAUAACAUUUUAAAGUGGUCUAGCAGAAACUGCAUUUGAACAACGCAUGGCUUGUACAUAAGGCUUGUUUUACUUAAUAUACUUUACAUAUUUUGUAUGACUUUGUGAAAGAGAGAUUGUGAUGGGAACUUAUAUGAUUAGAUUGACCUUUAUUUGAAUAAUAUUUACAGCAGCAGAUUUGAUGAAAAGAAAACUGUUGUUCACGAUAUCAUUUAUGUUAGGAAGCAAACUAAGAGAUGGUUCAAGUCCCAGAAUAAAAAUUUGUUCUGAACAAAAAAGGAAGCAUGUGGAUGCAAAUAUUGUCAACAUUUCUCCCCUCCCCCCCCAAAAAAAGCCCUCAUUUUUUAAAGAUAACUUUCUGGGAACUUUAGGCAAUGCAUGUAUAUUUAUCUACAGGCAACAGAACUAAAGCUGCUCAUAUAAGGACAAGAAGUCUUCCAAAUAUUUCAGUAGCUCAGUUUUUACUUGCCUGCCUGCAUUCAUGUAUGCAUAAAUAUGCAUGAAAUAUUUAGUUAGAUGAGUAUAAAGUCUGUAAUUAAGCAUGUGUGAAAACAUGAAAGACUAUUAAUACUAUUGAGAUAUCCUAAAUGCCAGAGAAUAAAAUCUAACAAAGGAUUGCAAGUCUAUACCUCUCUCAUAAACGUGAUUGCCAAGAAUGAGAUUGAUUCUCAAAUUUUUAAUUUUGUAUUAACUUUCUUUUCUUGAUAUAACAAACUCCAUAACAAGCAAAUAAUAUAUACAAUCAUGCAAGCUGCCAAUUCUUUUUCGCAUGCAUUGAUGUCAUUCAUACAAAACUCACAUCAACUUCAUUGGAACCACAAAACAAUUUGCUCAUCAAUGUCACACUUGUUCUAGGGCUGAAGUGGGAGUAAGGAAGUUGUUGGUACACUAACACUCCAUUCAUCAAAGAAAAAUGAUAAAAAAUGAACAAAUGCAAAACUGUGAAAGAUUCUGCCAAAUCUCAGAUAUUCGCUCAUCCAAAGAAAUACACUUGCUGUAUAAUUUAUGGUACUACACAUGAAAUAGUCACUGUGUUAACAGUUGCAAUGAUCCAGUUUAGACAAUGUUAUAACUAUACUAAGUUGUGUACCCGUUAUGAUGACAAUUUGUUAAAUCUUGUCCAAAGAAUGUGGGCAUUUCAUGUUAGCUGCAACACUUAUUUUACAGUUAGGUGGAAAUGAUAUAUCAAUCACAGGUGUGGCUCUGCAGAGUUUUGAAAAUGACAAGUACUUCACAUUAAAGAAAACUCACACAGUCAUAUCAUCGUGUUAGCCAACAAUCAAACUUGCACAACUCUUCCUUGUGAUUGAAGACUGUUGUAAACAAAUGUCCAGC
RNAcentral lists this long non-coding RNA (2757 nucleotides) under Pomacea canaliculata. RNAcentral describes it as "uncharacterized LOC112577306". Lineage: Eukaryota; Metazoa; Mollusca; Gastropoda; Architaenioglossa; Ampullariidae. The record is from RNAcentral.